RNAcentral lists this ribosomal RNA (492 nucleotides) under uncultured bacterium. RNAcentral's name for it is "partial 16S ribosomal RNA". It matches the Rfam family "Bacterial small subunit ribosomal RNA", at positions 30 to 507 of the family's 1533-position model. The record is from RNAcentral.
AUUGAACGCUGGCGGCAUGCUUUACACAUGCAAGUCGAACGGUAACAGGCUUUCAGGUGCUGACGAGUGGCGAACGGGGGCGUACUGCAUCGGAAUGUACCCAGAGCUGGGUGUUAACGGAGGGAAACGUGUGGUAAUAUCGCAUGUUAUCUGAGACUGACAGCGGGGGAACGCAGAGGAACGUUUGGCCUCGCGCGUUUGGAUGGGCCGAUGUCGGAUUAGCUAGUUGGUGGGGUAAAGGCCCACCAAGGCGACGAUCCGUAGCUGGUCUGAGAGGACGACCAGCCACACUGGAACUGAGACACGGCCCAGACUCCUACGGGAGGCAGCAGUGGGGAAUUUUGGACAAUGGGCGCAAGCCUGAUCCAGCAAUGCCGCGUGCGGGAAGAAGGCCUUCGGGUUGUAAAGCGCUUUUGGCAGGAAAGAAACGGUGUACGCUAAUACCGGGCGGUAAUGACGGUACCUGCAGAAUAAGCACCGGCUAACUACGUG